Molecule: transfer RNA, 76 nt
Filed under: Burkholderiales bacterium
Lineage: Bacteria; Pseudomonadati; Pseudomonadota; Betaproteobacteria; Burkholderiales
Description: tRNA-Lys
Rfam family: tRNA
About the family: Transfer RNA (tRNA) molecules are approximately 80 nucleotides in length. Their secondary structure includes four short double-helical elements and three loops (D, anti-codon, and T loops). Further hydrogen bonds mediate the characteristic L-shaped molecular structure. tRNAs have two regions of fundamental functional importance: the anti-codon, which is responsible for specific mRNA codon recognition, and the 3' end, to which the tRNAs corresponding amino acid is attached (by aminoacyl-tRNA synthetases). tRNAs cope with the degeneracy of the genetic code in two manners: having more than one tRNA (with a specific anti-codon) for a particular amino acid; and 'wobble' base-pairing, i.e. permitting non-standard base-pairing at the 3rd anti-codon position.
Source: RNAcentral
GGGGUGUUAGCUCAGUUGGUAGAGCAGCUGACUCUUAAUCAGUUUGUCGCCGGUUCGAUCCCGGCACGCCCUACCA